RNAcentral lists this ribosomal RNA (663 nucleotides) under Vibrio cholerae. RNAcentral describes it as "partial 23S ribosomal RNA". It matches the Rfam family "Bacterial large subunit ribosomal RNA", at positions 2268 to 2925 of the family's 2925-position model. The record is from RNAcentral. Lineage: Bacteria; Pseudomonadati; Pseudomonadota; Gammaproteobacteria; Vibrionales; Vibrionaceae.
GUUUGACUGGGGCGGUCUCCUCCCAAAGAGUAACGGAGGAGCACGAAGGUGGGCUAAUCACGGUUGGACAUCGUGAGGUUAGUGCAAUGGCAUAAGCCCGCUUAACUGCGAGAAUGACGGUUCGAGCAGGUGCGAAAGCAGGUCAUAGUGAUCCGGUGGUUCUGUAUGGAAGGGCCAUCGCUCAACGGAUAAAAGGUACUCCGGGGAUAACAGGCUGAUACCGCCCAAGAGUUCAUAUCGACGGCGGUGUUUGGCACCUCGAUGUCGGCUCAUCACAUCCUGGGGCUGAAGUCGGUCCCAAGGGUAUGGCUGUUCGCCAUUUAAAGUGGUACGCGAGCUGGGUUUAGAACGUCGUGAGACAGUUCGGUCCCUAUCUGCCGUGGGCGUUGGAAGAUUGAAGGGGGCUGCUCCUAGUACGAGAGGACCGGAGUGGACGAACCUCUGGUGUUCGGGUUGUGUCGCCAGACGCAUUGCCCGGUAGCUAAGUUCGGAAUUGAUAAGCGCUGAAAGCAUCUAAGCGCGAAGCGAGCCCUGAGAUGAGUCUUCCCUGACAGUUUAACUGUCCUAAAGGGUUGUUCGAGACUAGAACGUUGAUAGGCAGGGUGUGUAAGCGUUGUGAGGCGUUGAGCUAACCUGUACUAAUUGCCCGUGAGGCUUAACCAU